CCUAUUUUAUAUGGAGUCAACUCUGUUUACUGCGAUGAUUUAGCAAUCGAUUAAAUAAGCACCGAUGACAGUGAAACAUGUCGUUGAAAGAGACGCGAAGAGACAACACCAAAGAAAAAAUCCACACGCAAACACAGUAAUAGGUACACACAGACACACAUUCAAGUCACGCCAUCGCAUAUGCACAUGCGAACAGAAGUCAUCACCACACUCGUCAUAUAAUUCUCAAUAUAAAUUCGCAUGUUUAUUUAGUUUAAGUGAUUUACUUAACAAUUGAAUUCGAUAAAAUUUUAAAUUUAAAUUUGUACAUUAAAACUCCAUUUUUUUUGCUGCCUAUUGGAAAUCGAUCCGGUAAGGUAUUGCUUGUGCCUGACAAAUUUCGGUCUGCCUACAUCAGAAUUUAUUACAAUCUGCCACAAAAGUUUCUCUUUGUUUUCUCUGCGCUCUCGUCAAGUGGAUCGCCUCAUCUAUUAAGUCAAAAAUGUCUGACACAAGAUCAAGAAAGAAUGCAGCCUCGAGUCAAGAAGAUGGGGAGUCCUCUCAUAGUGGUAGUUUAAAUUCGACAUUGGUCACCGUGGAGACUAAAACUACUGCCAAAGAGCCAGGAAAACUAUUGUCUGCCACGACAAACACACCGUCGGCACGCUCAGAAGCAGGAGAAGUACAAAAGCCAUUAGAAGCUUGGGCAAUAUACCACCUAUGACAUAAUUACCAGGUAGUGUACCGUAAAGAGCUGAGUACAAUUUUUUCUCGCGAAGUGCACUCCCUGUCAACCAGUUGGUUGUGUAUAUUAUAGUUAAGAACCAUAACACAAACAACGACAAAUGGCGCGAACUAAUAAAAUACACAAAUUCAGAGCUGCACUAAUCACUGAUAGUGUACUCAAUAUUUUGUUGGGCAACUGCCAAUACCUGAAAAUGAAUAUGGCUUGAUACUACCACCAAAGGAGCCAGGCCGGUUACCGAUGAGAUUUUGUUUUCAAUAAUGUCAACAAUGAAUUCGUCGAAGUAUUCAAUAGAUGAAAUGAAAAGGGACACGAGCCAAAAUAAUGCCGCCAUUGCCAUUAUACUGUCCCAAUUCGUGAAAUAGCCAUGUCUGCAAAUGCUGCCAAUGAUUUGCAACAACAGAUGUCGAAAGCAGAAUCAACACAGCCAUCGAUAACGACAACUUUGCAGAAAUCGACUAUUUACACAAAACAAGUGUGAACGCCCAACACAAUCAAAGAAGAACGUUGGCUACACCAAAGAGGGUAAGAAAGAUAAGAGCUGGCGUUAGAGGGCAAUACGUGAUGACGAGUGACAAAAUUUUAAGACACAACAUAUUUGAAUUGCUCACGAUAUUUCGUUUUUCCUUUAUUGCAACUUUCGGUUGCAAAGAAACAAAGCAAAAUACGAAAAAAUGUUCGAACGAAUGCCCGAAUCAAAACAGAAUAACCCGAAAAUGUUGCAACCCUCAAUGUGAAUCCAAUUGGAAUACAAUAAAAAUGUUGUGUCUUUAACGCGAGUUAUUUUACGGUACGGGGAAGACAAAGCAGAAACUCUCUCUUGAUUAUCUUACCCUCUUUGGGCUACACAACAGCCAUCAUCUUACUUUUUGCCGUCAUCACAGAAUGAUUUGUUAUCAGCUGUGCCGAUAGCCGAUCAUCAAUAUCGAUAUAAACGAAUAAAGAAUCCUUUUUCGUUACACAAGCCGCCGUCAGAAGUAGCACCAGCUUUGCAUCCAUUGUCAAAUGUAAACAAUGCAGACGGUGCAACUAAUGAAAUUCGUGUAAGAAAUUGUGAAUUAUUUACGAAGUUGUAUAACUAACCGCACUUCGAUGAAGGCAGCAAGAGACUCCGUGCACAUAUUAUGGAGGAAUUGUGUUUCAACAUUGGACGUCCAGAUAUGCUGAUCAAGUCGCAGCUCGAGAAGAUACAAGCUUUUCCUUCCAUAUCAGAGGGUCGACCUGAUGGUAUUUUGGGUUUGGAAAUGUAUUGUAGUUGCAUUUUUUAAGUCAGCCAAAUGCGACUUGUGUUUCGGAUGUCUGCGUAAAGGCUCUAUUACACGGCAUGUAGUUGUCUUAUGACAGUCAAAAUUAGCACAUUUAGAGUUGUACAUGUCGUGUGAUACAAGUAAUGGCACAGCCAUAAAAACAAACUGGCGAUUGCCUCUUACCAUAUACAACGAAAGAGAAGGAGGAACGCAAUAGGAGUGAAACAAAAUGAAGUGGCGAUCGACGCAAAGGAAAAAAAUGUUUUUUUUUGUUGCUUGAGUUAUUCUGAGGGUGACUUGCUCCUCUUAGCUUUCUCCCUUUUUAGAUUCGAGUGCCGCCUUGUUGUGCGAUUGAGCCGGUGCUUCUUUACGAGCUUGUGCUGCCAUCGACUCCCCCCGAUUCACCAUAAACUCCUGUGAGUGAGAGCCCUCCACAACGGUCAAAACCCCGAAAAUCAUAACAGCAUCGUCAUCACCAUCUAGCUGACCGUCGGCAAAACUUCUUCAUUCUGCUUGCUAUCGCCGCAUCUGUAGAUUCGUUGCCGAAGUUCGACGCGUAGCUUGCAGUUUUCUCUUUCACAAAUAAAAUAAAAUUCAAUACCUCUCGGGAACCGGAGCAAACAAUCUAUUUUUAAUGAACUAUUGAAUUCAAAGGGAUAAAAAUAAACAAAGUUGAAAUUGUAACAA
This is a long non-coding RNA of Stomoxys calcitrans (stable fly), 2658 nucleotides long. RefSeq lists it as uncharacterized. The transcript is spliced from 2 exons. The record is from RefSeq and is a predicted model, not a curated record. Lineage: Eukaryota; Metazoa; Arthropoda; Insecta; Diptera; Muscidae.